This 82-nucleotide transfer RNA is filed under the name Echinostoma caproni. It matches the Rfam family "tRNA". Rfam says of the family: Transfer RNA (tRNA) molecules are approximately 80 nucleotides in length. Lineage: Eukaryota; Metazoa; Platyhelminthes; Trematoda; Plagiorchiida; Echinostomatidae. The record is from Rfam by way of RNAcentral.
AGCCUCGUAGCUCAGCGGGUAGAGCGUGCGCAUUCAAAGCGAAGGCACCUUCCAUGCGUAGGUUCGAAUCCAACCGGAGCCA